Molecule: ribosomal RNA, 253 nt
Filed under: uncultured bacterium
Lineage: Bacteria
Description: partial 16S ribosomal RNA
Rfam family: Bacterial small subunit ribosomal RNA
Source: RNAcentral
UACGAAGGGGGCUAGCGUUGCUCGGAAUCACUGGGCGUAAAGGGUGCGUAGGCGGGUCUUUAAGUCAGGGGGGAAAUCCUGGAGCUCAACUCCAGAACUGCCUUUGAUACUGAAGAUCUUGAGUCCGGGAGAGGUGAGUGGAACUGCGAGUGUAGAGGUGAAAUUCGUAGAUAUUCGCAAGAGCACCAGUGGCGAAGGCGGCUCACUGGCCCGGUACUGACGCUGAGGCACGAAAGCGUGGGGAGCAAACAGG